This 460-nucleotide ribosomal RNA is filed under the name uncultured bacterium. Its description in RNAcentral is "partial 16S ribosomal RNA". It matches the Rfam family "Bacterial small subunit ribosomal RNA", at positions 338 to 795 of the family's 1533-position model. The record is from RNAcentral.
CCUACGGGAGGCAGCAGUGAGGAAUAUUGGUCAAUGGACGAGAGUCUGAACCAGCCAAGUAGCGUGAAGGAUGACUGCCCUAUGGGUUGUAAACUUCUUUUAUAUGGGAAUAAAAUGUUCCACGUGUGGGAUUUUGUAUGUACCAUAUGAAUAAGGAUCGGCUAACUCCGUGCCAGCAGCCGCGGUAAUACGGAGGAUCCGAGCGUUAUCCGGUUUUAUUGGGUUUAAAGGGAGCGUAGGUGGAUUGUUAAGUCAGUUGUGAAAGUUUGCGGCUCAACCGUAAAAUUGCAGUUGAAACUGGCAGUCUUGAGUACAGUAGAGGUGGGCGGAAUUCGUGGUGUAGCGGUGAAAGGCUGAGAUAUCACGAAGAACUCCGAUUGCGAAGGCAGCUCACUGGACUGCAACUGACACUGAGGCUCGAAAGUGUGGGUAUCAAACAGGAUUAGAUACCCUUGUAGUC